CAGCACAUUCUCUUGCGAAGAAAAAAGGUUACUCUCCAUCCCACCCCUGCGAAAGUGGAUGUCAAGCGAAGCUGUUGAAAACCACUACUACAAAUGCUGAGGUAGGUAUGUAGUGCUUUAUUGCUUUAGAGAAAUGGCAGUAAUGGGAGUAAUGGUAAUUUUGACAGCAUGCUGCUCCCAUAGCGUUGCUGCUAGAAUACUGCAAUGAGUUGGUAGGCUGGUUCUUUUAUAUAUGAGAGCCCAGGGAUGUCUCUUGCCACGCCGCAAGCUGCCGUCGGUGUGGUCGCUUGCGCAACAGUAAUCUUGACCGGGAACGUAUGCGGGCAGAGCUACGUGGUUAGCAGUGUUAUGUGGAGCGCCUUGUCAUCAAUUAUGUGCUUUCGAGGAUUGUUCUGUGCUUGUUUUUUUUAUUGAAACCGUUGCUGUUUUGUGUGUAAUAUGCGUGAUUGCAAAGAAUGUAUGCAUUGUUCGCUCCACUUUGCUGACUGCUUGAAUCCUCUUCCUUAAGAAGGUACUAGCCACUGCGGCGGGCCCUGCACUUCCACCGGGUUCUGCCCAUAUUUUGCCGAUGCCGAUCAAAAUGCCGAUCAACUAAAGGUUGACAGCUUCGCUGUAAACAUUGUCCCAAUCGCUCACAGCGAGGCACCGCCGUGUGCAUUUCCAUUUGCACCACCGACCAGCCAUCCGCUCUAUCACCCAAACAGUGCUGCCACCUAUAGCCUGAUCUCGGAGCCAAUAUGUUAAGAAUGCUAACCAUGUGUUCAUUUUACCUGGCCCUGGGUUUUCUCUUCCUUGGUUUCCAGUGCUGCGUGCUUGGUUACAAAAAUCCACCUACACUAGAAGGGCCAUCCUGCUCAUCAGCUGGCUGCUACGGUGGCAAUCGGCCUGCCUGCUUCCAUAAUGCUACCUAUUGCACGUGCGCAUGUGGUAAGAAUGCCACAGCUAAAGACAACGUUGAAAAGUCUCAUUAUGUAUAGCGCC
Long non-coding RNA from Dermacentor andersoni, 981 nucleotides. RefSeq lists it as uncharacterized. Lineage: Eukaryota; Metazoa; Arthropoda; Arachnida; Ixodida; Ixodidae. The record is from RefSeq and is a predicted model, not a curated record.